CCCAGUCCCUCCCAGUCCCUCCCAGUGCUCCCAGUGCCCCCAGUCCCAGUAUGUCCCAGUCCCUCCCAUCCCUCCCAGUGCUCCCAGUGCCCCCAGUCCCAGUAUGUCCCAGUCUCCCCCAGUGCCCCCCAGUCCCUCCCAGUCCCUCCCAUGUCCCCAGUCCCAGUAUGUCCCAGUCCCUCCCAGUGCUCCC
This 193-nucleotide long non-coding RNA is filed under the name Gallus gallus (chicken). RNAcentral's name for it is "lncRNA (ENSGALG00010009758.1)". The record is from RNAcentral. Lineage: Eukaryota; Metazoa; Chordata; Aves; Galliformes; Phasianidae.